This is a long non-coding RNA of Rosa chinensis, 636 nucleotides long. RefSeq lists it as uncharacterized. The record is from RefSeq and is a predicted model, not a curated record. The transcript is spliced from 3 exons. NCBI's taxonomy places the organism in Eukaryota, Viridiplantae, Streptophyta, Magnoliopsida, Rosales, Rosaceae.
GACAACUUGGUCCUCUACCACGAGUGCGACUGGGACGCCCACGGCAGCUGCUCCAUCUCCACCACACAAGAUCGCACCCCGAUCGAGGGCUUCUCCGGCUGCCCCUCCCUGUACAGUUCAUCCAGAUCUAGGAGAUUCAUUCCGGUUUUCGAUGGCUUAGCCUCUCGUAAAUGAAGACAACAAUCGUGGCGAUGAAGCCAAUCUGUUUGAAUUGAUUGCGUAUUGUGAGCCGUAUAAAUCAUAUUUUAGUGCAUUAUGGUGUAAUUCUUGUUGAUCUGAUUCUCUCCAGCAAGAACAGUGCUUGGAAGUAGAACUUGAAAAAAACAGCUUCAUGGUAAGAUGUUUUUCUUAUUAUUAUGUUUCAUGUCCAUCAGAUAAUUGGGAAGCUGAUAAGAUAUAAGUAGUGGAUUACUCGGGUUCCUAUAUUCAAUGUUAGGUCUACUUGUGAUUUGUUAAUUUGUUGCCGAGUGUUGUUCUUUUCCUUUUUGUUCUCUGGAUUGAUUAUCAAUUUGAUAUUUACCCUACUUUGACUUGUUUUUUGCUACAAGCUUUAUGUUUAUAUUCAUGAUUGUUUGUUGAAAAGGAAAUUGACUGCUUCUGCAAAUACAUUUAUGAAUGAAGGGAAGGUUGCUACAG